This 174-nucleotide small RNA is filed under the name Arabidopsis thaliana (thale cress). RNAcentral describes it as "ATSL042040". Lineage: Eukaryota; Viridiplantae; Streptophyta; Magnoliopsida; Brassicales; Brassicaceae. The record is from RNAcentral.
UAUAUUAUUAACAUAUUAAGUUGGUUUGUACUCUAUGUCAUUUCAUCCAUGCAUCAAACCCCAUCCAUAUUUCGCUAACGAUAUUAUCUCGAUAAUGCGUUAUCUGCUAAGUAUCCUCAGUUUUAUCAUAUCUCUUUGUAGGGGUAUAUUUUUCAUAUAGAUUUUAGUUGAAAA